ACUAAACAGCUAGCUUAAACCACAGGGAAAAACUUAUCAACAUUUAAAACCCCUAACAAACAUAAUCAAAAAAAUUUAAACCAUUUCUCCUGCCUUAGUACGGGGCGAACGAAAAAGGCACCUUAAAAAGCAAUAGAAUAAAGUACCGCCAGGGGAAAGCUGAAAAAGAAAUGGAAAUAACCCCUUUUAAGGUAAAUUAAAAGCCAGAGAUUUAAACCUCGUACCUUUUGCAUCAUGAUUUAGUCAGUCCAAUUGAGCAAAGAGAACUUUAGUUCAAGACCCCGAAACCAAGUGAGCUACCUCGAGACAGCCUUUAACUAGGGCCAACCCGUCUCUGUGGCAAAAGAGUGGGAAGAGCUCCAGGUAGCGGUGAUAAACCUACCGAACUUGGUAAUAGCUGGUUGCCUAAGAAAUGGAUAGAAGUUCAGCCUCAUCAUCCCCAACUCCUAUAAAUAUAUAAAUUGACGAGUUAGAGAAACACAUGAGAGUUAGUCAAAAGAGGUACAGCUCUUUUGAAUAAGGAUACAACCUUCCAAGAAGGUUAAGGAUUAUAUUAAAAAAGACUACUGCUUCAGUGGGCCUAAAAGCAGCCAUCUGUGUAGAAAGCGUUACAGCUCAGGCAGCCCAUCAUCUAUUAUUCCAAUAACCAACCCAAAACCCCUUAUACUAUUAGGCUUUUCCAUGCCCACAUGGAAGCAAUCCUGCUAAAAUUAGUAACAAGAAAGCACCCCUUUCUCCCCGUUCAUGUGUAAGUUAGACAGGACCCUCCACUAACAAUUAACGAACCCAACCAAAGAGGGCAUCGUACUUUAAAAAAACUACAAGAAAAAUUUACAAACAACUAAUCGUUAAUCCCACACAGGAGAACUCGCAAGGAAAGACUAAAAAAAGAGGAAGGAACUCGGCAAAUAUAAGCCUCGCCUGUUUACCAAAAACAUCGCCUCCCGCAAAUCAAUGUAUAGGAGGUCCUGCCUGCCCAGUGAACUAAUUAAACGGCCGCGGUAUCUUGACCGUGCAAAGGUAGCGCAAUCACUUGUCUUUUAAAUGAAGACCUGUAUGAAUGGUGGAACGAGGGCUUAACUGUCUCCCUCCUUAAGUCAGUGAAAUUGAUCUGCCCGUGCAGAAGCGGACAUAAAAAUACAAGACGAGAAGACCCUUUGGAGCUUAAGACUCUAAAACCAAUUAUGUAAAAAAUUUACCCAAAACAAAUUAAACCCAAUAAAAACUGGUCUAAGUCUUCGGUUGGGGCGACCACGGGGGAAAAUAAAGCCCCCAUGUGGAACGGGGAGAUCCCCUAAAACCAAGAGAGACAUCUCUAAGACACAGAACAUCUGACCCAUAGAUCCGGCUUUCAAGCCGAUCAACGGACCAAGUUACCCUAGGGAUAACAGCGCAAUCCCCUCCCAGAGUCCAUAUCGACAAGGGGGUUUACGACCUCGAUGUUGGAUCAGGACAUCCUAAUGGUGCAGCCGCUAUUAAGGGUUCGUUUGUUCAACGAUUAAAGUCCUACGUGAUCUGAGUUCAGACCGGAGCAAUCCAGGUCAGUUUCUAUCUGUAUCGCUAUUUUUUCUAGUACGAAAGGACCGAAAAAAUGGGGCCCAUAUUAAAAACACGCCCCACCCUUAAUUAAUGAAAUCAACUUAAUUAAACAAAAGGAGAGCCCAACAAGACUCAAGAUAAGAGCUU
Molecule: ribosomal RNA, 1686 nt
Filed under: Neolebias ansorgii
Lineage: Eukaryota; Metazoa; Chordata; Actinopteri; Characiformes; Distichodontidae
Description: 16S ribosomal RNA
Rfam family: Bacterial large subunit ribosomal RNA (bases 185-1679)
Source: RNAcentral